GGGUAGUUAGCUCAGUUGGUAGAGCAUCGCCCUUACAAGGCGAGGGUCGGGGGUUCGAAUCCCUCACUACCCACCA
RNAcentral lists this transfer RNA (76 nucleotides) under Pseudomonadales bacterium. RNAcentral describes it as "tRNA-Val". It matches the Rfam family "tRNA". Rfam says of the family: Transfer RNA (tRNA) molecules are approximately 80 nucleotides in length. Their secondary structure includes four short double-helical elements and three loops (D, anti-codon, and T loops). RNAcentral also lists the same sequence under 3 other names. Lineage: Bacteria; Pseudomonadati; Pseudomonadota; Gammaproteobacteria; Pseudomonadales. The record is from RNAcentral.